RNAcentral lists this unclassified non-coding RNA (144 nucleotides) under uncultured Helotiales. Its description in RNAcentral is "sequence contains ITS2". The record is from RNAcentral. Lineage: Eukaryota; Fungi; Ascomycota; Leotiomycetes; Helotiales.
UAACCCCUCAAGCUCAGCUUGGUGUUGGGGCCUGCCGCACAGGCAGCCCUUAAAACCAGUGGCGGCGCCAUGUGGCUCUAAGCGUAGUAAUUUUCUCGCUAUAGAGCCCUGGUGGAUGCUUGCCAUUAACCCCCAAUUUUUAAU